CCCUACGGGGGGCAGCAGUGGGGAAUAUUGCACAAUGGGGGAAACCCUGAUGCAGCAACGCCGCGUGGGUGAAGAAGUAUUUCGGUAUGUAAAGCCCUAUCAGCAGGGAAGAGAAUGACGGUACCUGACUAAGAAGCCCCGGCUAACUACGUGCCAGCAGCCGCGGUAAUACGUAGGGGGCAAGCGUUAUCCGGAUUUACUGGGUGUAAAGGGAGCGUAGACGGUUGUGCAAGUCUGAAGUGAAAGGCGGGGGCCCAACCCCUGGACUGCUUUGGGAACUGUGCAGCUGGAGUGCAGGAGAGGUA
Molecule: ribosomal RNA, 305 nt
Filed under: uncultured bacterium
Lineage: Bacteria
Description: bacterial SSU rRNA
Rfam family: Bacterial small subunit ribosomal RNA
Source: RNAcentral